Molecule: ribosomal RNA, 551 nt
Filed under: Triglops murrayi (moustache sculpin)
Lineage: Eukaryota; Metazoa; Chordata; Actinopteri; Perciformes; Cottidae
Description: partial 16S ribosomal RNA
Rfam family: Bacterial large subunit ribosomal RNA
Source: RNAcentral
AUAAGAGGUCCCGCCUGCCCUGUGACUAUUAGUUUAACGGCCGCGGUAUUUUGACCGUGCGAAGGUAGCGCAAUCACUUGUCUUUUAAAUGGAGACCCGUAUGAAUGGCAUAACGAGGGCUUAACUGUCUCCUCUUUCAAGUCAAUGAAAUUGAUCUCCCCGUGCAGAAGCGGGGAUAUAAACAUAAGACGAGAAGACCCUAUGGAGCUUUAGACACUAAGGCAGCCCACGUUAAGCACCCUGAAUAAAGGACUAAACCAAGUAGGCCCUGCCCUAAUGUCUUUGGUUGGGGCGACCGCGGGGAAUUAAAGAACCCCCACGUGGAACGGGAACACUUUUCCUACAACUAAGAGCUACAGCUCUAGUAAACAGAACUUCUGACCAGCAAGAUCCGGCAAUGCCGAUCAACGGACCGAGUUACCCUAGGGAUAACAGCGCAAUCCUCUUUUAGAGCCCAUAUCGACAAGGGGGUUUACGACCUCGAUGUUGGAUCAGGACAUCCUAAUGGUGCAGCCGCUAUUAAGGGUUCGUUUGUUCAACGAUUAAAGUCC